This 253-nucleotide ribosomal RNA is filed under the name uncultured bacterium. RNAcentral's name for it is "partial 16S ribosomal RNA". It matches the Rfam family "Bacterial small subunit ribosomal RNA", at positions 524 to 776 of the family's 1533-position model. The record is from RNAcentral.
UACGAAGGGGGCUAGCGUUGCUCGGAAUCACUGGGCGUAAAGCGCACGUAGGCGGCUUUCUAAGUCAGGGGUGAAAUCCUGGAGCUCAACUCCAGAACUGCCUUUGAUACUGGAGAGCUUGAGUCCGGGAGAGGUGAGUGGAACUCCGAGUGUAGAGGUGAAAUUCGUAGAUAUUCGCAAGAACACCAGUGGCGAAGGCGGCUUACUGGUCCGGUUCUGACGCUGAGGCGCGAAAGCGUGGGGAGCAAACAGG